GGUGAACGCUGGCGGUGGGCCUAACACAUGCAAGUCGAGCGGAAGGACGGGAAGAGUGUGCCCCUACGGGUGGCGAGUGGCGGGCGGGUGAGGCAUGGAUAGGAAACUUCUUUUACGUGGGGGACAUCGGGGGAAAAGUGAUGAUAAUAGCGCAUACGAUCAACGGCAGGAAUCAGGGGUGCUUGGCGGUUUGGCCGAUUGUUAGAGACGGUGUCGGAUUAGCUAGUUGGCGGGGUAAAGGCCCACCAAGGCGACGAUCCGUAGCUGGUCUGAGAGGAUGAUCAGCCACACUGGAACUGAGACACGGUCCAGACUCCUACGGGAGGCAGCAGUAGGGAAUCUUCGACAAUGGGCGCAAGCCUGAUCCAGCCAUGCCGCGUGAGUGAUGAAGGCCUUCGGAUUGUAAAGCCCUGUUGUUGGGAAAGAAAAACUGCAGAUUAAUCCCUCGCUGUUCUGACGGUACCCAAAGAGUAAGCACCGGCUAACUUCGUG
RNAcentral lists this ribosomal RNA (492 nucleotides) under uncultured bacterium. RNAcentral's name for it is "partial 16S ribosomal RNA". It matches the Rfam family "Bacterial small subunit ribosomal RNA", at positions 28 to 507 of the family's 1533-position model. The record is from RNAcentral.